RNAcentral lists this ribosomal RNA (1486 nucleotides) under uncultured bacterium. RNAcentral's name for it is "partial 16S ribosomal RNA". It matches the Rfam family "Bacterial small subunit ribosomal RNA". The record is from RNAcentral.
UCAUGGCUCAGAAUUGAACGCUGGCGGUAUGCUUAACACAUGCAAGUCGAACGGAAACGAUACUAGCUUGCUAGUAGGCGUCGAGUGGCGGACGGGUGAGUAACGCGUAGGAAUCUGCCUGAUAGUGGGGGAUAGCCCGGAGAAAUUCGGAUUAAUACCGCAUAAUCUAUUCGUAGUAAAGUGGGGGACUUUCGAGCCUCACGCUAUCAGAUGAGCCUGCGUAAGAUUAGCUAGUUGGUAGGGUAAAAGCCUACCAAGGCGACGAUCUUUAGCUGGUCUGAGAGGAUGAUCAGCCACAUCGGGACUGAGACACGGCCCGAACUCCUACGGGAGGCAGCAGUGGGGAAUAUUGGACAAUGGGGGCAACCCUGAUCCAGCAAUACCGCGUGUGUGAAGAAGGCCUGAGGGUUGUAAAGCACUUUCAAUUGUGAAGAAAAGUUAACGGUUAAUAACCGUUAGCCUUGACGUUAACUUUAGAAGAAGCACCGGCUAACUCCGUGCCAGCAGCCGCGGUAAUACGGAGGGUGCAAGCGUUAAUCGGAAUUACUGGGCGUAAAGCGUGCGUAGGCGGUUUAUUAAGUCAGAUGUGAAAGCCCCGGGCUUAACCUGGGAACUGCAUUUGAAACUGGUAAACUAGAGUAUGGUAGAGGAAAGUGGAAUUUCUGGUGUAGCGGUGAAAUGCGUAGAUAUCAGAAGGAACAUCAAUGGCGAAGGCAGCUUUCUGGACCAAUACUGACGCUGAGGUACGAAAGCGUGGGUAGCAAACAGGAUUAGAUACCCUGGUAGUCCACGCCGUAAACGAUGAUAACUAGCCGUUGGGGGGAUUUACCCUUUAGUGGCGAAGCUAACGCGUUAAGUUAUCCGCCUGGGGAGUACGGCCGCAAGGUUAAAACUCAAAGGAAUUGACGGGGACCCGCACAAGCGGUGGAGCAUGUGGUUUAAUUCGAUGCAACGCGAAGAACCUUACCUGGUCUUGACAUCCUGCGAACUUUCUAGAAAUAGAUUGGUGCCUUCGGGAACGCAGUGACAGGUGCUGCAUGGCUGUCGUCAGCUCGUGUCGUGAGAUGUUGGGUUAAGUCCCGUAACGAGCGCAACCCCUAUCCUUAUUUGCCAGCACAUCAUGGUGGGAACUAUAAGGAGACUGCCGGUGAUAAACCGGAGGAAGGCGGGGACGACGUCAAGUCAUCAUGGCCCUUACGACCAGGGCUACACACGUGCUACAAUGGCAUCUACAACAGGAAGCAAAACGGCAACGUUAAGCAAAUCCCGAAAAGAUGCCUCAGUUCGGAUUGCACUCUGCAACUCGAGUGCAUGAAGCUGGAAUUACUAGUAAUCGUGGAUCAGCGUGCCACGGUGAAUGCGUUCCCGGGUCUUGUACACACCGCCCGUCACACCAUGGGAGUUGGUUCUACCUUAAGGCAAGGUUUUAAACCCUUGACCACGGUAUAGUCAGCGACUGGGGUGAAGUCGUAACAAGGUAGCCGUA